This 601-nucleotide ribosomal RNA is filed under the name bacterium enrichment culture clone MS17. Its description in RNAcentral is "bacterial SSU rRNA". It matches the Rfam family "Bacterial small subunit ribosomal RNA", at positions 324 to 916 of the family's 1533-position model. The record is from RNAcentral.
AAUUCGCCCUUACUCCUACGGGAGGCAGCAGUGGGGAAUAUUGGACAAUGGGCGAAAGCCUGAUCCAGCCAUGCCGCGUGUGUGAAGAAGGUCUUCGGAUUGUAAAGCACUUUAAGUUGGGAGGAAGGGCAGUAAAUUAAUACUUUGCUGUUUUGACGUUACCGACAGAAUAAGCCCCGGCUAACUACGUGCCAGCAGCCGCGGUAAUACGUAGGGGGCGAGCGUUGUCCGGAAUCAUUGGGCGUAAAGCGCGUGUAGGCGGCCGACCAAGUCCGAUGUGAAAGCUCGGGGCUCAACCCCGAGUCUGCAUUGGAAACUGAUCGGCUAGAGUCCGGAAGAGGAGACUGGAAUUCCUGGUGUAGCGGUGAAAUGCGCAGAUAUCAGGAAGAACACCGGUGGCGAAGGCGGGUCUCUGGGACGGUACUGACGCUGAGACGCGAAAGCGUGGGGAGCAAACAGGAUUAGAUACCCUGGUAGUCCACGCCGUAAACGAUGGGCACUAGGUGUGGGAGGUGUCGACUCCUUCCGUGCCGUAGCUAACGCAUUAAGUGCCCCGCCUGGGGAGUACGGCCGCAAGGCUAAAACUCAAAGGAAUUGACGG